This 534-nucleotide ribosomal RNA is filed under the name Triticum aestivum (bread wheat). RNAcentral's name for it is "partial small subunit ribosomal RNA". Lineage: Eukaryota; Viridiplantae; Streptophyta; Magnoliopsida; Poales; Poaceae. The record is from RNAcentral.
AUGGCCGGGAGGGACAGAGACCCGCUGGUGGUUGGCAGGGUUGUGGGGGACGUGCUGGACCCCUUCAUCCGGACCACCAACCUCAGGGUGACCUUCGGGAACAGGACCGUGUCCAACGGCUGCGAGCUCAAGCCGUCCAUGGUCGCCCAGCAGCCCAGGGUUGAGGUGGGCGGCAAUGAGAUGAGGACCUUCUACACACUCGUGAUGGUAGACCCAGAUGCUCCAAGUCCAAGCGAUCCCAACCUUAGGGAGUAUCUCCACUGGCUUGUGACAGAUAUCCCCGGUACAACUGGUGCAUCCUUCGGGCAGGAGGUGAUGUGCUACGAGAGCCCUCGUCCGACCAUGGGGAUCCAUCGCUUCGUGCUCGUGCUCUUCCAGCAGCUCGGCCGGCAGACCGUGUACGCUCCCGGGUGGCGCCAGAACUUCAACACCAGGGACUUCGCCGAGCUCUACAACCUCGGCCCGCCUGUCGCCGCCGUCUACUUCAACUGCCAGCGUGAGGCCGGCUCCGGCGGCAGGAGGAUGUACAAUUGA